Molecule: ribosomal RNA, 422 nt
Filed under: uncultured bacterium
Lineage: Bacteria
Description: partial 16S ribosomal RNA
Rfam family: Bacterial small subunit ribosomal RNA
Source: RNAcentral
AAUAUUGGACAAUGGGGGCAACCCUGAUCCAGCCAUGCCUCGCUUGUGAAUAAUGUCUUCGGAUUGUAAAGCACUUUAUGUUGGGAGGAAGGGCUUUAGGCUAAUACCCUGAAGUUUUGACGUUACCAACAGAAGAAGCACCGGCUAACUCUGUGCCAGCAGCCGCGGUAAUACAGAGGGUGCAAUCGUUAAUCGGAAUUACUGGGCGUAAAGCGCGCGUAGGUGGUUCAGUAAGAUGGGUGUGAAAACCCCGGGCUUAACCUGGGAACUGCUUUCAUAAAUGCUGAGCUAGAGUACGGUAGAGGGUAGUGGAAUUUCCUGUGUAGCGGUGAAAUGCGUAGAUAUAGGAAGGAACACCAGUGGCGAAGGCGACUACCUGGACUGAUACUGACACUGAGGUGCGAAAGCGUGGGGAGCAAACA